UUGAACGCUGGCGGCAUGCUUUACACAUGCAAGUCGAACGGUAACAGGGAGCUUGCUCCGCUGACGAGUGGCGAACGGGUGAGUAAUGCAUCGGAACGUACCCAGUCGUGGGGGAUAACGUAGCGAAAGUUACGCUAAUACCGCAUACGUCCUGAGGGAGAAAGCGGGGGACCGUAAGGCCUCGCGCGAUUGGAGCGGCCGAUGUCGGAUUAGCUAGUUGGUGGGGUAAAGGCCUACCAAGGCGACGAUCCGUAGCGGGUCUGAGAGGAUGAUCCGCCACACUGGGACUGAGACACGGCCCAGACUCCUACGGGAGGCAGCAGUGGGGAAUUUUGGACAAUGGGCGCAAGCCUGAUCCAGCCAUGCCGCGUGCGGGACGAAGGCCUUCGGGUUGUAAACCGCUUUCAGCCGGAAAGAAAUCGCUGUUUUUAAUACGGACAGUGGAUGACGGUACCGGAAGAAGAAGCACCGGCUAACUACGU
This 482-nucleotide ribosomal RNA is filed under the name uncultured bacterium. Its description in RNAcentral is "bacterial SSU rRNA". It matches the Rfam family "Bacterial small subunit ribosomal RNA", at positions 29 to 506 of the family's 1533-position model. The record is from RNAcentral.